GUUUGUGUGUUUGUUUGUUUGUUUUUUUUCUGAGCUUGAUUGCACUCAUUUUAAUUUCGGUUUAUUUUUUUCUUUACAUUUUUUUACAUUGUUUUUUUUUUCUUUGAUUGUCACAGUGUGCACAUUUUGGUUCUUUGUUCACACACUGCAGCUUUGUGAAUGCAGUGGAUUGGGGUGAUGGUUUUAAGAGGGUAAAACCUGGUGUGAAAACUCUGCCGUAAAGAGGAUGUGUAGUGUACCACCUGCUUGAUAAGUCAGCUUAAAAAUACCUCCUCUACCACUACAGCUUUCCACCCCGCCGCUCACACUUUCACUCGUUUGUUUCUUGUCUUUUACAACCUCCAACACCCUGAUGUGCAUGCCUAGGAAAGCUCGUCAGUGCAUAUUGUUAUCAUUAUUUUGCAAUUGAAGCACACAAUUUAGUUUUCCAGUUUCAUUUAGAAUGAUUUUUCAUUGUUUUUUUUUCAUUUUCAGCUGUAUGGUGAAUGAUUUGUGCUUAACGCAAGAGACUGUGCGGGAACGCAUGGAGUUUGCGCAUUGCACUUUUUACACAUCAAUACAUUGCUGCGAUGGUUUUGACCAUGUGCCUUGUCGCAUUUCAUUGGAGAAUUUUAAGGGAAUUUGAUUUUCGAUUCUCAUUUAGUUUGAUUGUUUUCGAUUGACUUGUCGAUUUUCUUUUUGUUGGUGUUUUGUUAUUGAAUGCAGAAUGCAUGAAUUACUUGUUGUCUGUAAGUUAAGUAUUUGAUUAGCUGCUUAUUUGAACUGCUUAAUAUUUGUGCCAUCAGACUUCCUUUUAAUUUUAUUUUAUUAAAUUCUCUUCUCGUUCAUUUUUGUUGGCUUGAAACAAAUAUCAGUCGCUGUCUUUAAUUAGCUCUUGUAACAAAUACGAUCCUCAAACAGUCAUUACAAUACAGGUGAUAUGAGUUUUUACAAUGAUUACGCUGUGCUGAGGGAGCUGUUGUUAUACCCCACUGUGUGCUGCGGUACAUAGAUAUAUGAUGUUGAAUACCUUAAUUAUUAUGUAUAUCAACUCUUAAACUCAGGAUCAUUCUCAGUAAAACAGUAAGACUUCCAAAUGGUUGGAUUGUCAGGCAGGUUUACAAGCCACAGAGCUGCAAUGAAGUGUGACUUCUUUAACCUCCUGAGACCCAGCCCCUUGACUUAUGUCCACUGUAGUGGACAUUUGAGUUUCAUCCCUCUCCUUGGAAUCUUUUGUGCAAGUCUCUUAAUUCCUGCUGUACUGUACAGAGGACAUCCUGGGCUUUUCAGGGAUAUGUUAUUUGAUUGGCUGGGAGGCCGGGAACCCCCUCAAUCUUUCAAUCCAAAAUGGCCGGCAUAGGAAUAAGCACAUUUUAUGGAAAGAUAAAAGAUUUGCACGUUUAACCUGGGCUUCCAGUGUGUCAAGAUGACCCUACAACACAUGCAGACUGGAGUCCAAUUGAAUAUUUUUGGAUACCAAGCAUGCAGAAAGAUGCAGAAAUAAGGGCUCCAAGAGCAAGACGUACAUGAGAUGUACCAAAUGCAAGAUGUUCCUCUGCAUUACCAAAAAGAGAAAUUGCUUCCUGGACUAUCACAACUAACAAAAACAUACUAAGAAUAAAAUGAAAAGUGAAGGAAAAACUAGAUUGGAUUCAGUUUGACAGAAGGAAAAAAAAUCCCCCUCCAAAAGUUUCACAUUAGUUCUAUGUUCAUUGUUCGAAUAACACUAAAAGGAUUCAAGGGGACCAAUAAAAGGAUACGGACAUAACAAAGUGUUAAGCUCUAAUAGUAAAGAUAUACUUGCAAAAUGUAAGGAAAAGGAUUCAAGAAUGAUAAAUGUUUAUAUAAUCAAAAUGUCUGUAUUGGAUAAUAAUCAAUUUACAGCCCAAAAUGUAUUCUUAGUUAAAAAAAAAAUGUAUAAUCUGGUAAAAUUGUUAUCUACCAAAUGUGUUUGUUUUCGUACUAAAAUGAUCCUGUUGUCCACUACAGUGGACAUGCUGUAAAACAAAAAUAAAAAAUAAAAAUAAAAAUGUCUAAAUUGUAGGAUGUUUUUUAAACCCUAAACAGGUAUGGAAUCACAAAAAAAUAGGAUUAGGAAAAAAAAUAUUUUCCUUGGUUCUCAGGAGGUUAU
Molecule: long non-coding RNA, 2110 nt
Organism: Carassius gibelio (silver crucian carp)
Lineage: Eukaryota; Metazoa; Chordata; Actinopteri; Cypriniformes; Cyprinidae
Exons: 2
Source: RefSeq, a predicted model, not a curated record